GAGGAGUGGCAUUCACCUAUAUUUAAAUGCUGAAAAUUACAACUCAAUUUCCAUUAUGGAAAUCAGCAAAAUCGACCAAACAGCAUGAUCACAAAAAUCAAAAUCAAAAGACAAACACAAAAGAACUUAGUAAGGGGGAAGAGGUUACCUUUCUUAGUGCAGAAAACUUGGAACCAAACGAGCUUGAAAGGAUGACUCCACCACCACAAAGUCGGGUGUCAACUGCCAACGAGGAACUCUUCACUCCCUUUUCGGAUGUAUUUUGAAUAAAUUUUACAACUAUUCAAACUUUUCAACUCAAUAGUCUCCAACCAAUUUCUUAACCAAUCUUUCCUAGCCAAGAGAAAGACAAUUCAAA
RNAcentral lists this unclassified non-coding RNA (358 nucleotides) under Hevea brasiliensis (rubber tree). The record is from RNAcentral. Lineage: Eukaryota; Viridiplantae; Streptophyta; Magnoliopsida; Malpighiales; Euphorbiaceae.